Molecule: long non-coding RNA, 2094 nt
Organism: Arachis duranensis
Lineage: Eukaryota; Viridiplantae; Streptophyta; Magnoliopsida; Fabales; Fabaceae
Exons: 2
Source: RefSeq, a predicted model, not a curated record
UUCUGCCUGCGCGGCUGCUGCGUUGCCAGAGCUCCUCGCCGCCACUGUUGGCGGCGGAAACCGCCUUCCAAGCCUGUGUCUGUUGGUUAUACAGUCACCGCGAGUUUCUCUGCCGCCGUACGACCUUCCACUAGAAGGAUCCACCACAGCCUCCUCUGUUCUUGUCUUCAAAUCAGCACUGCCCUUUUUCAGUUUCAAUCCCAAUUCUGCUAUUUCUGAAUAUUUUUACCAAGGUAUGUUUGAAAAAUUAAAAUUGGUGCUGCUGCCACCAUUUCGGUCACGUUGGAAUCACUGUUGCUGCCAUGAAAUAAAAAGGGAAGGGAGUUACUGUGUUUGACCCAUGUGAAUUCAGCUAGUCGAGGUAGGCGCGUUUUUAUUAAAACUCAUUUUUAUUCUUAAGAGUUGUUAUAAAUUGAUAUUUAGGCAAGUAGAUAUUUUUUGUGGUUAUGGAGUCUUAUAAGUUGAACUGAACUGCCUUGAAUGAAUGUGAUUGCUUACUUGCCUGUGGCUAAUUCUGAAUAUUGAGUUGAUAUUGAGAUAGUGAAUGAAAGAUUAAUUUGAAAAUCUGAGUCGAAUGUUUAUCAAGUAUAAUUUGAGAAUUGGAAAAUGAUUUGAUGUUAGAUUUAGUUUGACUUUAGAAAACGAUUUGAGAUUUGUGAAUGACUUGGGUUUGAAAAUGUUGGAAAGUGUUUGAGAAAAUGUUAGUUGACUUUGUUGGAAAUGAAUUGGAAUCUGGAAAGGGUUAUAACGUUGGAAAUGAGCUUGAUUUGUAGUAAAAGGAAUUUGAAUUGAAAAUGGUUUGAGAUAUUGAGGUUGUUCUGAUUUUGAAAUUGAGUUGAAAGGAGUUUGAGAAAUGGUUUUGUUGGGACCCAGAAGGGGUGAUAGAGUCCGAGUUUUAGAGGAAAUGCUGCAGAAAUUUAUAAAAUUGGAAGAGUUCAUUUGAAGUAAUUAUUUAAAAAGAUUUGUUUUUUAACAUUAUAUGUUUUAAGAUUGGUUUAUAAUGAACAGAAUGGAAAGAAGGAUGAUGAGGAUUUUCUUUGAAAUAUGGUUUUUGAAUGAAUUUGGAAAUGAGAUUUGGAUUGAUGAAUGAUUAUGAUGUUGAGAAUGUUGAGAUAUGGAUUGAGAAUGUUGAGACAUGAUCUUUGAAUUAUUCAUAUGGCUUAUAAAUUUCAAUUAUCUGAGAUAUGAGGUUCCCUGGAUUAAGUGCCGUGGCUUGCCACCACGUGUACCAGGUUGAAAACUCGAUACUCUGUUGACCUUACGACGUAAGUGUGACCGGGCACUAUAUAAAUUCCCGGGAAUGUUACCCCCAUUGAGCAAUAUUGAUUAUUUGAGAGAAAGUGAUGCAUAGACUCUUGGGGAUGCACGUCAGGGGACAGUCUAAGUUCAAUUCAGACUUGUCAGGUUGGCUGGAUAACCGACAGAUGAGCCUCAUCAGCCAUAGGACAGGCAUGCAUCAUAUGCAUUUGUAUGCUUUGUUUGGGUUUGAACUUGUUUUUGGUUUGCCUAAUUGCUAAAUUGUUCUUAACUGCUACUUGAACUAUUUGCGGUAAGUGCUACCUAAACCUGUGCUUUCCUUGUCUGUCUUGCCUGUGUUUGUCUUGGUGUGCUACAUUUGAGAAUGAACUUUGGUGCUGAAUUAAUGAUUGUGUUGUUCGAUUGCGUGAUUGGUUUCUGAUUGAGAUUUUCUUAUAAGAAAGGAAAGGUUUUUCGGAUUUCUGAAAGAUUAAACAUUAUUUCUUUGAAAAGGUUUUGAACGAUUACCUAUUGGUUUUUAAAAGAUUCAUAAGGCAAUGAUAAUCACUGAGCUUGAAAACAGUUUUCUCAUUAAAUAUCUUCUUAUGACAAUUUUAAAACUCUGUGGUGAGACCGUGUGAUUAAGUUCACCCACCCUACAGCCUUACCUUUUCAAGAAUCGGAUGAAGAACUAUUACGAAAAGUGAUAUUGCAUUUUUUGUUUACAUGAUGUUGUAUUAAUUAGAUUAAUUUUCUUCUCUCGUUUUUGUUAUUACAAUUCUGUAAGAGGGAUAUGAGUUUUGGGUUUUAUAUGUAUAUUAUUUUGUAAGCUAUUAGGUAAGAAAUCUUAUAUAUGAA